UACGGGGGGGGCAAGCGUUGUUCGGAAUUACUGGGCGUACAGGGCUCGUAGGUGGCCAACUAAGUCAGACGUGAAAUCCCUCGGCUUAACCGGGGAACUGCGUCUGAUACUGGAUGGCUUGAGUUCGGGAGAGGGAUGCGGAAUUCCAGGUGUAGCGGUGAAAUGCGUAGAUAUCUGGAGGAACACCGGUGGCGAAGGCGGCAUCCUGGACCGACACUGACACUGAGGAGCGAAAGCCAGGGGAGCAAACGGG
Molecule: ribosomal RNA, 253 nt
Filed under: uncultured bacterium
Lineage: Bacteria
Description: partial 16S ribosomal RNA
Rfam family: Bacterial small subunit ribosomal RNA
Source: RNAcentral